RNAcentral lists this ribosomal RNA (506 nucleotides) under uncultured bacterium. RNAcentral's name for it is "bacterial SSU rRNA". It matches the Rfam family "Bacterial small subunit ribosomal RNA", at positions 19 to 518 of the family's 1533-position model. The record is from RNAcentral.
AUGGCUCAGGAUGAACGCUAGCGGCAGGCUUAACACAUGCAAGUCGAGGGGCAGCGGGAUGUAGCAAUACAUUACCGGCGACCGGCGGAUGGGUGCGUAACGCGUAUGCAACCUACCUUAUACAGGGGAACAACCUUCGAAAGGGAGACUAACACCCCAUAGUAUUGAUUUAAGGCAUCUUAGAUUAAUUAAAUAUUUAUAGGUAUAAGAUGGGCAUGCGUAUGAUUAGCUAGUUGGUAAGGUAACGGCUUACCAAGGCGACGAUCAUUAGGGGUUCUGAGAGGAAGGUCCCCCACACUGGUACUGAGACACGGACCAGACUCCUACGGGAGGCAGCAGUGAGGAAUAUUGGUCAAUGGGCGCAAGCCUGAACCAGCCAUGCCGCGUGCAGGAAAGACGGCCUUAUGGGUUGUAAACUGCUUUUACAUAAGACUAACCGUAUAUUUGCGAAUAUACCUGAAUGUAUUAUGAGAAUAAGGAUCGGCUAACUCCGUGCCAGCCGCAGC